GAUGAACGCUGGCGGCGUGCCUAAUACAUGCAAGUCGAGCGAACAGACGAGGAGCUUGCUCCUCUGACGUUAGCGGCGGACGGGUGAGUAACACGUGGAUAACCUACCUAUAAGACUGGGAUAACUUCGGGAAACCGGAGCUAAUACCGGAUAAUAUAUUGAACCGCAUGGUUCAAUAGUGAAAGACGGUUUUGCUGUCACUUAUAGAUGGAUCCGCGCCGCAUUAGCUAGUUGGUAAGGUAACGGCUUACCAAGGCAACGAUGCGUAGCCGACCUGAGAGGGUGAUCGGCCACACUGGAACUGAGACACGGUCCAGACUCCUACGGGAGGCAGCAGUAGGGAAUCUUCCGCAAUGGGCGAAAGCCUGACGGAGCAACGCCGCGUGAGUAAUGAAGGUCUUCGGAUCGUAAAACUCUGUUAUUAGGGAAGAACAAAUGUGUAAGUAACUAUGCACGUCUUGACGGUACCUAAUCAGAAAGCCACGGCUAACUACGCG
This 497-nucleotide ribosomal RNA is filed under the name uncultured bacterium. RNAcentral describes it as "partial 16S ribosomal RNA". It matches the Rfam family "Bacterial small subunit ribosomal RNA", at positions 28 to 507 of the family's 1533-position model. The record is from RNAcentral.